GUAGGGAAUCUUGCGCAAUGGGCGAAAGCCUGACGCAGCCAUGCCGCGUGAAUGAUGAAGGUCUUAGGAUUGUAAAAUUCUUUCACCGGGGACGAUAAUGACGGUACCCGGAGAAGAAGCCCCGGCUAACUUCGUGCCAGCAGCCGCGGUAAUACGAAGGGGGCUAGCGUUGUUCGGAAUUACUGGGCGUAAAGGGAGCGUAGGCGGAUAGUUUAGUCAGAGGUGAAAGCCCAGGGCUCAACCUUGGAAUUGCCUUUGAUACUGGGUAUCUUGAGUAUGGAAGAGGUAUGGGGACCGCCAAGUGUAGAGGGAAAAUUCGUAGAUAUUCGGAAGACCACCAGUGGCGAAGGCGACAUACUGGUCCAUUACUGACGCUGAGGCUCGAAAGCGUGGGGAGCAAACAGAAUUAGAUACCCUAGUAGUCC
Molecule: ribosomal RNA, 425 nt
Filed under: uncultured bacterium
Lineage: Bacteria
Description: partial 16S ribosomal RNA
Rfam family: Bacterial small subunit ribosomal RNA
Source: RNAcentral